This 308-nucleotide ribosomal RNA is filed under the name uncultured Actinomycetales bacterium. RNAcentral describes it as "bacterial SSU rRNA". It matches the Rfam family "Bacterial small subunit ribosomal RNA", at positions 54 to 354 of the family's 1533-position model. Lineage: Bacteria; Bacillati; Actinomycetota; Actinomycetes; Actinomycetales. The record is from RNAcentral.
GCUUACCAUGCAAGUCGUGCGGAACGNCCUUUAGGAGGUGCUCGAGCGGCGAAACGGUGAGUAAGAAAAGAGUAACCUGCCCUCAACUUUGGGAUAACCCUCGGAAACGGGGGCUCAUACUGGAUGUUCACACUCUGGCGCAUGUUGGGGUGUGGGAAGUGUUUGCGGUUGGGGAUGGGCUCGCGGCCUAUCAGCUUGUUGGUGGGGUAAUGGCCUACCAAGGCGUCGACGGGUAGCCGGCCUGAGAGGGCGACCGGCCACACUGGGACUGAGACACGGCCCAGACUCCUACGGGAGGCAGCAGUGGG